CAAUUUCCCUCACAACAAUUUGCCGUAGCAACCAACAAAGAAUAAUCUUGGCCAACAGAACACAACAAUUUCACAAAAAAUAGCUAGCAAUUUCUCUCCAUCUGUCUCACUAUAUCUUCUCACUAUACAAUAAUGACAACAAUACACAAAGCAUAGCAACAUCCGUACAAAGCAAGUCAAACAAAAUAGCCCCAAAUCUUAAUUCCAAUCUAUGAAUUGCCCUUGGACAAAAUUUCCCCAAGUGUGCCAAAGAUGGAUUUUGUACAGAGAAGGGUGUGUGUCUCCCUCUCUGUAGCUCAUCUCCAACAGCAAUAAUCUGAAAACAAAUGCACCAAAGAUAGAUUUUUAUCUGUAACUUUAGCACUCCAACGCUUCAGCCAACAAAAAAGGAUGUGCUAGCCACCUAUUUGUCCCUAUUAAUAACAAAAUCUUCUUGCCUUCGCAGCUUGAACGCGGAAGGCCUUGUACACUUGUAGCAGCUUGUUAGUGAAGCACCCACCUCGGGUGCGGGCGCGGAAGGCCUUGGCGUAACAUCUGGGCGUCAUGCACAACCUUUCCCAGCGCUCGUCCUCACCAAAGCCCACCAGCAGCGGGCGAGGGUUCCAUGGUGUCUUCUCCUCCAAGUGCCUCGGUUCUGCCAAGCUCCACCAGGAGAUUCUUCGCCUGGUCUAUGAUGCACCAUCAAGAAACCAUGAUGAGGGCACCUCGGCCCCUCCGGCUUCGUCACUCCCCUCCUAAUGCAUCUGGAAUUUGCAUACAGUAGGUAGUAUCAACUUGCCUCGGAUGACACGACCCAUAAUGAAGUUAUUCAUCUAGAAAAUAAGCAAGAUGAAUGACUCUAUCUAUAGUUGUUAUUCUCAUCAUAGAAUAAGUAGUGAGCUACAAGAAGAGUUGAUGCGUGUGUAUAAACAACGACAUAAUUUUGUCCCAACAAUAAAUUCCUAACUAUUAUAGUGUUCGUAAGUUGUCUCUCAACUUUCUCAAUCAGCAACCACCUUUUCUGAAGCUAUCAAUGGUAUAAUAUUACAACCAUAAACAUCUAUCAUGGUAUGAAACAUCAGCAUGAUAGGGAUCAGACAAACAAGCAACAACACAACAUAGGCUAAGCCAAAUAACCUGUCAAGCUAUCAAUUCCUAUAGUGAAAAAUCACAGCAACCUCACGAACACGGGCAAUCGCCCAGAUGACAAACCUAUCACGACCAUGCCAGUGCAAGAGCAUGUUUAAGCUAAGUUCAUCGAGCUUGAAGUGAGGGCCGCCGCCCGGAGAUGCUCCCAUCACUUGGUCCAUACACCAUCUCUCAUACUCCCAUUUGCAUUUGACUUUGUUUCAUAGAAUGAGGGCAUGUCUUGCACGCAUCCCCACAUGCCUCCUUAGAAGGGUUCAGUCUACGCCUUGGGCACCGUGUCCGACGGACGCCAUCACUUGUGUUCAUUCAGAUCAUUUAUAGGAUACUUAGUAGGAGUAACACAACCCGAUUAUUUGAACUGCAUGCUUUCAUAGACAAUUUGCUAAAUAAACUUGAUAGAUAAGCAGCUACAUCAAAAAAGGAAAUUGCAAAAUAACAUUGCGGGAAUAAACAUUCUACAUCUCUAGGAGAAAUCAAGCUAGUGAGCAUAGCUUCUAAUGAAGAUGUGCCAACCUCAGUUUUAGGUAGUUGUAUAUAGGACUACAACUACAAAAAUAUUUAUUCAUUUGAGAAUUUCAACUAUAAUCCAUAAAUAUACAACCAGUAUAUAUUAAAAUUUGUAUUUAGUGAAAACUGACUUGGCACUUGACAUACAGCUAAGAUGCGAGCUCCAGGUAAAUAUGCAUUGCAGUAAAUACAGUGGGGAUGGGGGGAUAGUGGAUCUGCAUCCAAUUCUUGUAGACUCUGCUAUAUAAAUUACCCAAAGAAGACCAGACGUAACUUGGAAUGAAAUUUUAGAGAACGUUCACAUAGACAGUCAAAGGACAAUUGUUAAUGUUAUGGAAAAAAGAGUGAUUUGGACACAUUGUGCAGAAUAAUCACAUUGAUUGUCUUGGUUUUAUUUUUAUAUAUAAUUACAACUGACAUUGUUGAUGGAAUGCUAGCAGAAGAAAACUCCUAGUAGAACAAUUGUCAUUAAAACCAAGAGGUUAACAAUUAAUUGGUGCAAUGCUGUAACUUUGGGCCAAGAAUGUUCAUAUUUCAGUCGAUUUAUCAACGGUGUUUUAUGGUAUCUAGGUCUAUGUCAUUAAUUGACAAUUUAGACCACUUGUACAAUUCACAAUAGUAAACAAUUCUCAGUGGCAAAAGGGUAAAUGACUUUAGGGAUCUUUCAAAAAGAAAUUGCAUCAGUAAACUUACAAAGGAAUAAUAGCAUAUCCAACCCGAAGCUGUCUCCCUAUUUCCCGUCACAUGUAUGCAGCUACACGCCUACACGCCUAGGUUGUGCUACCACACUCCUAAUACUUGUCUUGAAGGAUGAAUUGGCAUAAAACCAUGAGCUUGCACAUGUU
This 2480-nucleotide long non-coding RNA is filed under the name Triticum aestivum (bread wheat). RNAcentral's name for it is "long non-coding RNA (TAES_LNC020617)". The record is from RNAcentral. Lineage: Eukaryota; Viridiplantae; Streptophyta; Magnoliopsida; Poales; Poaceae.